AACGAACGCUGGCGGCAUGCCUAACACAUGCAAGUCGAACGAGCCCUUCGGGUCUAUGCGCGCACGAGUUCGUAACGCGUGGGAACCUUCCCUUAUGGUCGGAAUAACUCCCCGACAGGGGUGCUAAUACCGGAUAAUGUCUUCUGACCAAAGAUUUAUCGCCUUUGGAUGGUCCCGCGUUGGAUUAGCUAGUUGGUAGGGUAAAAGCCUACCAAGGCGACGAUCCAUAGCUGGUCAGAGAGGAUGAUCAGCCACACUGGGACUGAGACACGGCCCAGACUCCUACGGGAGGCAGCGGUGGGGAAUAUUGGACAAUGGGCGAAAGCGUGAUCCAGCAAUGCAGCGUGAGUGAUGAAGGCCUUAGGAUUGUAAAGGUCUUUUAACCGGGAUGAUAAUGACAGUACCGGGAGAAUAAGCUCCGGCUAAAUCCGUG
This 433-nucleotide ribosomal RNA is filed under the name uncultured bacterium. RNAcentral describes it as "partial 16S ribosomal RNA". It matches the Rfam family "Bacterial small subunit ribosomal RNA", at positions 29 to 507 of the family's 1533-position model. The record is from RNAcentral.